Long non-coding RNA from Penaeus vannamei (Pacific white shrimp), 349 nucleotides. RefSeq lists it as uncharacterized. Lineage: Eukaryota; Metazoa; Arthropoda; Malacostraca; Decapoda; Penaeidae. The record is from RefSeq and is a predicted model, not a curated record.
GCUCAUGGAAAUUGCGUUUGUGCUUUGACAUUCUUGUAUAACGCCAGUAUUUCUGGGGAAGAGCUGGCAGUUAAAGUGCUAAAGGAUUGUUGCAGUCACAGUGGUAACCCCAAGGACUUCGGUGUAGUCUGGGAAAGAGCGCUGGCGUUGGGCUUGCUGCCUUGCAGAGUGAUUUUCUACCCUCACGUGAUCAUCGCAUUGAUGCAAGGGUGCAGGCUGUCUAGCUGUCCUGAGAUGUACCUGUCGUGCGGUGACGUGCCUGUGGUGAUGUGAAGUGUCAGUGUUACCCGCUUUGGGAUACGAUCUCGAAUGUCUCCUCCAAGAAAGGAUUAAACCCUGUGCAAGAAUC